UACGGAGGGUGCAAGCGUUAUCCGGAUUUACUGGGUUUAGAGGGUGUGUAGGCGGACUUUUAAGUCAGCGGUGAAAUCUCCGGGCUCAACCCGGAAACUGCCAUUGAUACUAUUGGUCUUGAAUGUUGUUGAGGUGGGCGGAACGGGUCAUGUAGCGGUGAAAUGCAUAGAUAUGACCCGGAACACCGAUUGCGAAGGCAGCCCACUAAGCAAUGAUUGACGCUGAGGCACGAAAGCGUGGGGAUCAAACAGG
Molecule: ribosomal RNA, 253 nt
Filed under: uncultured bacterium
Lineage: Bacteria
Description: partial 16S ribosomal RNA
Rfam family: Bacterial small subunit ribosomal RNA
Source: RNAcentral